GGGGAAGGGUAGCUUGCUACCUGACCUAGCGGCGGACGGGUGAGUAAUGCUUAGGAAUCUGCCUAUUAGUGGGGGACAACAUUCCGAAAGGAAUGCUAAUACCGCAUACGCCCUACGGGGGAAAGCAGGGGAUCUUCGGACCUUGCGCUAAUAGAUGAGCCUAAUUCAGAUUAGCUAGUUGGUGGGGUAAAGGCCUACCAAGGCGACGAUCUGUAGCGGGUCUGAGAGGAUGAUCCGCCACACUGGGACUGAGACACGGCCCAGACUCCUACGGGAGGCAGCAGUGGGGAAUAUUGGACAAUGGGCGAAAGCCUGAUCCAGCCAUGCCCCGUGUGUGAAGAAAGCCUUUUGGUUGUAAAGCACUUUAAGCGAGGAGGAGGCUACUGAGAUUAAUACUCUUGGAUAGGGGACGUUACUCGCAAAAUAAGCACCCGCUUACUCUGUGCCAGCAGCCCCCGGGAAUACAAAAGGGGCGAGCGUUAAUUCGAUUUACUUGGGCG
RNAcentral lists this ribosomal RNA (500 nucleotides) under uncultured bacterium. Its description in RNAcentral is "bacterial SSU rRNA". It matches the Rfam family "Bacterial small subunit ribosomal RNA", at positions 68 to 560 of the family's 1533-position model. The record is from RNAcentral.